AACAGACCCACAUCUACUUGAGAGAAAGAGAGAGAGAGAGAGAGAGAGAGAGAGAGAGAAAGAAAGAAAGAAAUGGCGCCUCGAUGCUGCGCUCACUGAGGCAGUGUUUGGAGCUGGCUAGGGAGAUUCAGUAAGGGCAGACAAAAGGAAAAAACAUGGUGAACACAAGGAAAAGCUCACGGUCGGGGAGCGGUCCCUUCAUCUCCUCUAGGACUAGAUCGUCGUCGAGAACCGAGCGAAACUCUGAUGAACAUAAAGAACCCAGUAGUGAUGUGAGUAGUCCAAGCAGUCCACGGCGGGCUCCUCCUUCCAAGCGGAUGCGGCGCCAGACUGCCUCCGAGCCCAGCUCCAGUGAUACCUCCCCAUCCCCUCAGACCAAGGGCCAGAGGGUCAGCUGGGAAAUUCCCACCUACCACACCAGGUUGUCCUCUCGCAUAAUGCAAAAUGGACACGCCCAUAUGAGUCACCGGAAUGAAGAGAGUGGAGGGGGAGAUCACUCUCGCAUGAAUGGCCAUGUGGAGCUGAAGAGGAGCUGCCGGGUGAAGAAGAGCCAGUUUGAACACCUCAAUCAGAGCCUGCUGUUUGACCAGCUGGUCAACAGCACUGCUGAGGCUGUCCUUCAGGAGAUGGACAACAUCAGCAGCAUCAGGCAGAACCGUGAGGUGGAGCGACUUCGCAUGUGGACUAGAGACACUGAGGAGGAAAACAUGGACAUGUAUUCUCGGGUGAAGCGCAGAAAAUCCAUGCGCAGGGGCACUUUCAGCAUGCCUACACACCACAAAGUCAUGAGCAAGACGGAGCAGGAGGAUGAAGAGGAGGAAGGGACGGAAGAUUCUCACGGCGAGGAAGAGGAGGAUGCAGAGGAUGAAGACGACGAAGGGGAUGAAGCAGAAGAGGCAGGAGAGGAAAAUGACAGGCCGUACAAUCUGAGGCAGCGGAAGACGGUGCAGAGAUAUGAGGCACCACCUAUUGAGCCUGUGAAUAGAAAACAGAGCAACCCCUCACUUUUUGACACCCACAGAUCCCCAGCAAGAAGAAGCCAUAUAAGAGUGAAGAAACAUGCCAUUCACAGCAGUGACACCACCUCGUCUUCUGAUGAAGAGCGGUUUGAGCGGAGGAAAAGCAAAAGCAUGACCCGGGCCAGGAACAGAUGUUUGCCCAUGAACCUGGCGUCAGAAGACCUGGCUAGUGGGGUGCUGCGUGAUCGGGUGAAAGUGGGUGCCAGCUUGGCUGAUGUGGAUCCCAUGAACCUUGAUAGCUCAGUGAAAUUUGACAAUGUGGGUGGCCUCAGUAAUCACAUUCAGUCACUAAAGGAGAUGGUCGUGUUCCCACUGCUUUAUCCUGAGAUCUUUGAGAAGUUUAAGAUUCAGCCUCCCAGAGGGUGUUUGUUCUACGGCCCCCCGGGUACAGGAAAGACCCUGGUGGCACGGGCGCUUGCCAAUGAGUGUAGCCAGGGAGACAGAAAAGUUUCCUUCUUCAUGAGGAAGGGAGCCGACUGCCUCAGCAAGUGGGUCGGCGAAUCAGAACGCCAGCUACGCCUGCUCUUUGACCAGGCUUACCUGAUGAGGCCGUCCAUCAUUUUCUUUGAUGAGAUUGAUGGUUUGGCUCCUGUUCGCUCCAGCAGGCAAGACCAGAUACACAGUUCUAUUGUGUCCACUCUGCUGGCCUUGAUGGACGGCUUGGACAGUCGUGGGGAGAUAGUGGUCAUCGGUGCUACAAACAGACUUGACUCUAUCGACCCGGCACUCAGGAGGCCUGGACGCUUUGACCGGGAGUUUCUGUUCAACCUGCCCGACAAGAAGGCCAGAAAGCACAUCUUGGAGAUUCACACACGGGACUGGAAUCCCAAAUUGGCUGAGCCAUUUGUAGAUGAACUUGCAGAAAAAUGUGUCGGCUACUGCGGUGCUGACAUCAAAGCACUUUGCACAGAGACAGCCUUGGCGGCGUUGCGCCGCCGCUACCCCCAGAUCUAUGGCAGCAGCGUCAAACUGAAGCUGGAUGUCGGCUCCAUCGUCCUGGGGCCUGGCGACUUCAGCAAGGCCAUGAGGACAAUCGUCCCUGCUUCCCAGAGGGCCCUGGCUCCCCCUGGCCGAGCCCUGUCCCCCGCCCUCAGGCCCCUGCUGGCCAGCUCUUUCUCCUUGUUGCUGAAAGCUCUGCUCCGAGUCUUCCCCCACGCUCAGUGUACUGACAGGGACAGCACACACGGCGCCGACAAUCAACUGCUUGAAGAGGACGUGUACAGUGAUGAUGACAAUGAAGAACGCUCUGCUUCCAUCUAUGAAGUCCAGCCUGCUGCAUCCCCAAAGAGUCAGCACUCCUCUUCUGCAACGCACAGACCCUUCCUCCAUUUCUCCUCCUCUGCCCUCCAACAGCCGACGGCCUACCGGCCUCGUCUGUUGCUGACCGGGCCCCCGGGCUCAGGACAGAGUUCCCACUUGGCCCCUGCCUUGCUGCACCGCCUGGACAAGCUGCCAGUGCACCUCCUGGAUUUGCCCACUCUCUACUCCGUCAGCGCUAAGACGCCAGAGGAGUCCUGUGCUCAGGUUUUCCGCGAGGCCCGCCGGAGCGUGCCCAGUGUGGUGUUCAUGCCACAUAUCUCAGAGUGGUGGGAGAUAGUGAGUGACACUGUGAAGAGCACCUUCCUCACCCUGCUGCACGAUGUGCCCUCUUUCAGCCCUGUCCUUAUCCUCGCCACUGCUGAGACCCACUACUCCCAGCUGUCAGACGAGGUGAGAAGUAUUUUCCAGAGGACCUAUGGGGAGGUAGUGACGCUGUGCCCUCCAGCAGCAGAGGACAGGAGGAGCUUCUUCGCUGACCUGCUGUUGGUCCAGGCGGCCAGGGCUCUGCCACGCUUCAGGAAUAAGGAGAGGCGUGAAGAGGUACUGCCGAUGGCCGAGGCUCCAGGCCCCAGGGUCCUGUCGGCAGAGGAACAGCGCCGCCUGGCUGAGCAGGAGGAGAACACACUACGAGAGCUCAGGCUCUUUCUCAGGGACGUGACCAAGCGCCUGGCCACUGACAAACGCUUCAACAUCUUCAGCAAGCCAGUUGACAUUGAUGAGGUGUCCGACUACCUGGAGGUUAUUCGGCAGCCUAUGGACCUGUCCACUGUCAUGACCAAGAUUGACACCCUCCAGUACCUGACCGUGAAGGACUUCCUGAUGGACAUCGAUCUCAUCUGCAGUAAUGCAUUAGAAUACAACCCUGACAAGGAUCCCGGAGACAAGGUGAUCAGGCAUCGAGCAUGCAGUUUAAAGGACACAGCCCAUGCUAUAUUUGCUGCCGAGCUGGACCCCGAGUUCGACCGCAUGUGCGAAGAGAUCAAGGAGGCACGCAGGAAGAGGGACCCCCAGGCGCCAGCUCAGCUGACGCCGCUGAUGGGCGCUGUGGCAAACAGAAAGCCCCACACCGCAGGAGAGGAGCAGGCCAGGAGCAGCACUCAGGGCGAGGCCACGGACAAACGGUGCACCACUAAUCACAUAAAGCGGAAGAUUCGCCGGCGACCAUCUUGGGGGCGGGGCAUCAUCCGUAAGAAGAAGAUCUACAGGAAGGAAAUGGAAGAGGAGGAGGAGGAGGAGGAAGGGGCAGAGGUGGAAGCUGCAGGGCCCAGUGACUCAUGUGUGACACAGGAUGAGGAAUCAUCAUCUUGUGACACCAUGGGUCCCCAGCCCAAUGGCCACCACCCCCACGUCCCCUCCACAGAGGAGGAGAGCUCUAACGAGCCCCCUGUUGCAGCUCCAGCUGAACCUCCAGAUACCAGUAAAGCCCAAGAAGAGCCAACACCUAAGGAGGAGGAGCCCACAGCCAAAGAGGCAGAGCCUGAGAACACAGAGAAAUACAAUGCGCUGUUUUGGCUUGAUGGCAGUACUCAGCCCAUGGCUGACGGGGAUGGCCAGGCCAGGCAGGCUGACUUCCAGCCUUUGAUUGAAAUGUCCGAGUCUUUAGAUGCUGAGGUCCAGCCGAAGCACACAGAGGGUCUCCUAGUAUCACAAGUGGACUGUGUGAACGGAAAUGCGUCAAUGGACAGCCUGGACUCGCAGAGCCUCAAAAGCAGCAGUGAGGCUGAGAAAAGGACUCCUCAGAGCCCGGCUGAAGGCUCUAAUGAACCAGAACAGGAAGAGCACAAAGACAAAAAUGAGAGCAAUCCAACUCAGGAGCCCCCUCCCAAGGAUGGCAGGGUAGCAACAGAAAAUGUUGAGGAAGAUCAAGAUACAGAAGGGGGUUCCACAGCCAAGACAUGCAAGGUGAGCCUGUCAGAGCAGCUGAAGGGAUCUGCUGAAUGGACAGAGGAAGAGCCACAACCAGUCCCUCCCCAUCCUCCCUUAGUGGUUGACCACCAGCGACUUUUGGCUCUCCUGGAUAUGGUGGUGAAGAAGAGUGAGGGCUACAGUGUGGAGCAGCUGGAGAGACUGUACUCCCUCCUCAGCCAGUGUAUCUACCAGCACCGCAGAGAGUACGAAAAGACCCAGCUACUGGAGGAGAUGGAGGAGAGAAUCCAGCAUUUCGAUACAUUCCUGUGAGACUACCUAAUCGGGUAGAUCCUGAACAGCCUGGGACCACAAAGACACACAAACUGAGUGAGAGAGAGAGAGGGAAGGAGCUUCUGAGUCCAGCCCUCAACACAAAAACACACACAAAAAUCCAGCCCCCUUUUCUUGCUGGGAGGGGACACAACGAGGACGACGUUGAGGACAGAGACAUUCAAUGGUGCUAUCGUCUCAGGAACCUGGCCAGAUCCAGACCCAUUCUACACAACCAAACUCCUGGAGGUGUGUCAGUCACACACUUUUACACACACACACACACACACACACACACACACACACACACUAACGGUGACAGGCAACCCUGGUGCUACUCGGGUGCUAUCCUAACUUUUAUCCACGCUGCUCUUGGGAUUAUUUCUUAACUUGGAUGACUAGCAAAACCCAACAGAUCGGGUGAUGUCAUAUCGCAACCUGGCCGCUUCUCUCCGGAGCAGGCCGUGCAUACACACACCCUGACACUUGGUUAUGCAUGCAUUUCUACAGACACACACCCAGAAAUACACACACACACACACACACCAGAUUCUUACCAGCAAAAGUGUGAAUGCAGAGUGCCGCUAGGAGAUGAGGACAGAUAAUGUUCUGAAUCACUGAACCACAUUGCUGAGCCCAUCUUUCCCUCGCGUUUGAAUGCUUCGUCAUAGGCCAGUUAUUACCAUGCUAUUAUGCGGCUCAUUUUAUCUGCCAUUUUAGCUCCAUGCUUUUUAUUCAAUAUCUGAGCCACCGUCAAGGAUACUCACCCAGAACAAUGGUUUACAAAGAAGUUUUAGCGUGAACACAAACUCGAUGAGGUUAGCACAGGACUAGAGCCCAUGAUGUCCUCCUUCAUUACAGCAGUCACCGGAUGUGGAGAGCUGUUAGCCCCCUCAGCGUUUGUGUCCGAGUUACUGGUGAACAAGCGGCGCGGCGUGUGACUGUAGGUCAGUUGUACAACCACUACGCUCACAGACCACCUCUGGCGUUCACAGUCUUAACAGAUUGUCACGUCCUAAAUCGUUUGUGGUAGCUAACCCCUCCCCCCUCCUCAUUACAUUCACAGUCUGAAUGUUUUCCCUCCCACUCAAGCUGUGCCCGCCAGUUGAUUUUUCCUAAAGACACCCCGGCGGAGGAACUGGAAGCAGUACAAAUUUGAAUGCGUGUAGAGUUUGCACUGCCUAGUGUGUGCCUUAUUUCAAACCUCUAAUGAAACGCUGUUAUAUUCAGCAGGAUUUUUUUAUUUACUACUUGUGACAAUGAACAGGCUCCAAGUUGGGGUGGGCCCUAACCACUGAGGUCACAGUUACCUUAAAGCAAAAAUAUAUAUAUAUACAGUAUAUAUAUGAAUUUAAUUUUAAUAGACAUACCUAGGUUAUCUCCAACCUGGGCCAAAAAAACUAAUUGACAACAUUUAAAAAAUCAAAGAUAAAAGGUGUUCUAUACAGAUAAUACUUACCCUCUGCGGCUGUGUCUGUGUUGUGGCCAGAUACGUCUCAAGCUCUCGAAAUGUUUUGAUUUUUUAAAAUAUAUUCAUGCCCUGUUAAAACCCAGACCUGUUGGGGAGGUCAGUCUCCACCUGAGCGGACAGCAGGUGUAUGAAGAGGUUGACGACACCAGCUUUUCUUCAGUUUUCCAUAUGCAAAACAAAAAGAUUAUCAUGCGAGUCAAACGAUUUACCGUGCCAAGUGUUAUCCCACUCCCUAAUAAAAAGGUGCUGACAUGACGGUGCCUGUUCACAGGAAUUCUGUUUCAACUAUGAAAAUGUUCUACUAGACAGUCAUAACAACCUAUCUGUUAUGUCGUGAAUUUGAUAAUUAUUUUUUACGGGUUUAUUAUUAUUUGUUUUUUAUACAAAUGCUUUGCUUGAGUUGAGAUUUUGCAUGGGUUGUGAAUCCAUAAUGAACAAGGCCAUUCUAGGCAGUGCCCGUCACUAAGGUGUGUAAAGCAUUACAUGAUUUCCUUUUUUUUUUUUUUCUCUCCUCCUUUUUAAAUAAGUGUAUCGACUUUAUGGAUUUAUUUCAUCUGUUUUUCUCAACAAGACGAGAGAAGCUGGAUUCUCAUCUGAGGCCGACACAGUAAAGUUUUCUGACUGCAGUAAAUAAAGGUGUUCACUGAAGCUUUAUGACGUUUUCAUGGCAUUGUCAUGGUUUUGGAGAUGCCAUAUUUUGAGCUAGUUUGUACUGGAGAAGGUCCCCUCUUUCACUCUUGUCCAAUCCUCAAACCUCUUGGUGCAACUCUGACCCCAGCUCACCUCUGCCUUUUCUCAAAUUCUAGGUGAUAAAAGCAAAGACCAUAUGCAAACUGGCAACAACAGGUUAGCACUUGGACUACUGCAGAGAGAAAAACCAACGCUACCUCAGCUUAAUUUAUUUUAACGCAAAAACUGUUUACUGGGUACAAAAA
Molecule: RNA transcript, 6923 nt
Organism: Sander lucioperca (pikeperch)
Lineage: Eukaryota; Metazoa; Chordata; Actinopteri; Perciformes; Percidae
Gene: atad2b
Gene name: ATPase family AAA domain containing 2B
Exons: 29
Source: RefSeq, a predicted model, not a curated record